This 433-nucleotide ribosomal RNA is filed under the name uncultured bacterium. Its description in RNAcentral is "partial 16S ribosomal RNA". It matches the Rfam family "Bacterial small subunit ribosomal RNA", at positions 29 to 507 of the family's 1533-position model. The record is from RNAcentral.
AACGAACGCUGGCGGCAUGCCUAACACAUGCAAGUCGAACGAGACCUUCGGAUCUAGUGGCGCACGGGUGCGUAACGCGUGGGAACCUGCCCUUAGGUUCGGAAUAACUCCCCGAAAGGGGUGCUAAUACCGGAUAAUGUCUUCGGACCAAAGAUUUAUCGCCUUUGGAUGGGCCCGCGUUGGAUUAGCUAGUUGGUAGGGUAAAAGCCUACCAAGGCGACGAUCCAUAGCUGGUCUGAGAGGAUGAUCAGCCACACUGGGACUGAGACACGGCCCAGACUCCUACGGGAGGCAGCAGUGGGGAAUAUUGGACAAUGGGCGAAAGCCUGAUCCAGCAAUGCCGCGUGAGUGAUGAAGGCCUUAGGGUUGUAAAGCUCUUUUACCCGGGAUGAUAAUGACAGUACCGGGAGAAUGAGCUCCGGCUAACUCCGUG